Molecule: long non-coding RNA, 203 nt
Filed under: Mytilus galloprovincialis (Mediterranean mussel)
Lineage: Eukaryota; Metazoa; Mollusca; Bivalvia; Mytilida; Mytilidae
Source: RNAcentral
UUGAAAUCAAUCAAAAUUUUUACAGAAAUUCAAACUAGAAAGCCUACCCUUUAAAAUAAAUCUAGUCAGUUACAGAACUAGUGAAAUAAUAACACUACACAAUUUAUAACAAAAGUUAUAUAUUUUUUUUUAAGAACUACAUUCGUGGGUACCGGACUGGUUGCCCUAACUGGGAUCCUAUUCCUAAUGUCAAAGAGGCCGGC